GUGCCAGCAGCCGCGGUAAUACGGAGGAUGCGAGCGUUAUCCGGAUUCAUUGGGUUUAAAGGGUGCGUAGGCGGUCUUUUAAGUCAGUGGUGAAAUCUUGCCGCUUAACGGUAAAAUUGCCAUUGAUACUGAAAGACUUGAGUACAGUUGAGGUAAGCGGAAUGUGUAGUGUAGCGGUGAAAUGCUUAGAUAUUACACAGAACACCAAUUGCGAAGGCAGCUUACUAAACUGGCAACUGACGCUGAUGCACGAAAGCGUGGGGAGCGAACAGGAUUAGAUACCCUCGUAGUCC
This 293-nucleotide ribosomal RNA is filed under the name uncultured bacterium. Its description in RNAcentral is "partial 16S ribosomal RNA". It matches the Rfam family "Bacterial small subunit ribosomal RNA", at positions 505 to 796 of the family's 1533-position model. The record is from RNAcentral.